AAUAUUCAGUCUGAAUCGACUAUUCGUCUUGAGCAAAUUGUGAGCUUGUCAAAAAAAAAUAAAUAAAUAAAAGAAAAGUAUAAAAUAAAAAUAAUUUGUUUUGUGCGGUUUUCGGAAAUAAAAGCUAAAAGUAAUUCGAUAAAAUGCGUCCAUCACCGACCAACUACAGCGAUUCUUCGCGCAUCGAGCGUCAGCGCACGCGUGCCAUACUGAGGGGACUCAGGCUGUCGAAGAGGGUUCGACGCGCCUUGCGUAACUUCUUGAAGGAGCUGGUAACGCUUCAGAUUGUCAUCAGCGAUUUUCAGAUGUUAUCUAACCAACUGAGUGUACAGACCGACUAAUUCUAAUUCUAUAACCAAAUACACACAUUUACACUGAAAAAAACAUAGUUCAGACAGCAUUUUCAGUGUUCACAUAAAAAUUGCAUACAGAGAGAAAGAUCGACCAUUUUCAAAUGUCAGCUGACUAAUUAAAUAUUGAGUAAGAUUAGCUCUAAUUCUAUAACGAAAUACGCACUUUUGCAAUAAUUUACACAGAAAUAAAACUCUUCACAUAGUUCAGACAGUUUUUUCCGUGGCCACUUUAAAAUUGCGAAAUUAACCGUUUUCAAGCAUCUCGGGCGAAAAAACUUAAGUACAGAAAAACAGAUUGACAAUUUUUUAGAGGAUUAGAUUAGUUAGUGGAGAGACCACUCAACAUAUUUUAAAGCUGAUGCUCUAAGAAGUAUCUAUAGCAAAUUUUAGGCUUUGACUUCACUGCGAGCUGCUCAUACGAAAUUAUCAACCAUAGUAACUAUUGGGUAUAUGUCAUAAAAAAAUCGAUAACAAUUUUCAUGCAACAUGGAAACUUAUUGAUAUUUUCCUUCGCAUCCAAGUGGGCUGUGAAAAAAUUCCUAUAUCCCAGCGCAGAGAACAAAAAACUUUCAGUCUGAAUCGACUACUCGUCUAGAGCACAUUGUGAGCUUGUGAAAAAAAAGGAAAAAAUAAUAAUUAAAAAUAUAAAAAUAAAUAAUUUUUUUUUCGCGCGAUUUUCGGAAAUAAAAGCUAAAAGUAAUUCGAUAAAAUGCGUCCAUCACCGUUUAACUACAGCAAUUCUUCGCGUUCACGUGGCACGUUGGGGGGAGUCAGGCUGUCGAAGAAGGCUCGUCGCGCUUUGCAGAACUUCUUGAAGGAGCUGGUAGCGCUUCAGAUUGUCAUCGACAAUUUUCAGAUGUUAUCUAACCACUUGGAGGAGGAGACCGCCGAUUAGUUCUUAUUCUAUAAAGAAAUGCACGCUUUUGCUACAAUUUACACCGAAAAAAAAAACUGUUCAGGCAGCAUUUUCGUGGCCACGUGAAAAUUACAAAAUUAAGCAUCUCCGGCAAAAAACAAGCUUAAAUACAGAAAAAAUGUUAGACAAUUUUCAGAUGUCAGCUGACUAAUUGAAUAUUGAGGAAGAUUACACAUAUUUACACCGAAAAAAAAAAACAUAGUUCAGACAGCUCAUACUCUUUCCAGCAAAUAAAAUUGGAUAAUUAGGCAUCUCGCGCAAGACACAAACUUAAACACAGAAAAAAAGGUCAACAAUUUUCAGAUGUCAGCUGACAUUGAAUACAGAUGAAGACUAUUUCUAAUUAUAUAACGAAAAACACAGUUUUGCUACAAUUUACACCGAGAAAAGAACUUUUCACAUAGUUUAGGCAGAUUUUCCGUGGCCACUUUCAAAUUACGAGCUUAAUCGUUUUUAAGCAUCUUUGACAAGAAACAAACUUAAACACAGAAAAAAAGAUCGACAAUUUUAAAAUGUCAGCUGACAUUGAAUACGAAUGAAGACUUUUUUUAAUUCUAUAACGAAAAACACACUUUUGCUACAUUUUACACCGAGAAAAGAACUUUUCACAUAGUUUAGGCAGCUUUUUCCGUGGCCACUUUAAAAUUGCGAAAUUAACCGUUUUCAAGCAUCUCGGCCCCAAGAAACUAACUUAAAUACAGAAGAAAACACGAUGUUUGCCGCUUGCUCAGCAAAUACGCUUGACACUGAGAUUACCAAUUCAAGAACACGAGGAGAACACUAGGCAAAAGUCACGGCUGCUUAUCAACACUUGUUCAAAUAAAUGUUCGAAAAAUUUAACAAAACAGAGCAGAACAACACAAAACAAGAGCAGAACAAUUCAUAAAACAAUAAAGAAUGAGUUAAAGAUACACAAAAUA
Drosophila mojavensis is the source of this 2189-nucleotide long non-coding RNA. RefSeq lists it as uncharacterized. The transcript is spliced from 7 exons. Lineage: Eukaryota; Metazoa; Arthropoda; Insecta; Diptera; Drosophilidae. The record is from RefSeq and is a predicted model, not a curated record.